Molecule: small RNA, 899 nt
Filed under: Histoplasma capsulatum
Lineage: Eukaryota; Fungi; Ascomycota; Eurotiomycetes; Onygenales; Ajellomycetaceae
Also listed under: 1 other name
Description: hypothetical RNA
Source: RNAcentral
ACCUGUCAACUUAGGGAUCAGAGGAGUUUAUGUAGCCAUCAACGUCCGCUCCUUGAAGAAGAUCACUUCAGAUUCCGCAUUUCCAUCCUGUAAAUCCUUAAUCAAUUAAUUGAUUUGGAUACCGGUGGUACCGAAAAAGGCUCCGGAUCUUCAAUACUCAGCCCAAAUUGAUUUUAACUGCUUGAAUUCACGAUGGACCACGACACCGAAAAUACCCCCCUUCUCAGCAAUUCCGAUGCUGGCCCUCCUGAUGUAAACGAACAAACUUACGUUACAUUGUCGCGCAACCCAGCUGCAGCAAUCUUCCAUCGUACAACUGUUGCCUUAACAUGGCUUUCUAUCGGUCUCUCAGUCUCAACCUUCGCUUUUGUGUUUGCCGUUAUGAUAAUAUAUCAGAUCUGGCAUGGCUCCAAUUUGAACUCGAUAACUAGAGAGAGUUGUGCCUGGUUGAUGUUACUGGGAAUGGCCACGGCUUUGAUCAGCUUCCUAAAUUUAGUCUGCCUGUAUGUUCGCCGGAAAGCAAUGCCACUCGUUCUCAACCUGGUUAUCGACCCCAUUGUUAUUUUCUACUCUUUUGGCUGGAGCGUCACUGGCCUAGUUGAAAAUUCUCCCUGGUGUGAACCUGAGUGCGAUGGUACCACCAAAUGGAUCCAACUUUUGGCCGGUAUUGGGCUAAGCUUUGCAUUGGGAUUAGGACUCACCCAUCUGGCUUUAUUCCUGAUGCGAUGUGUCCUUGCGGUCCGCUGGGUUUUUGAGCAGAGGCGCAACAGUUCAGGACCAUUUCUUCGUAUCCCGACUGGGCAAUUCACGGUGGAAUUCACAAUUAGAUUAUUGAGGCAGGAUAAUGCUGUUGUACCCCAAUCCGCGGAUGGAGAUCAGAGAAACGAAAAUAUCACGGA